AGCCCGCUCGCCGGAAGACCAAGGGUUCCUGUCCAACGUUAAUCGGGGCAGGGUGAGUCGACCCCUAAGGCGAGGCCGAAAGGCGUAGUCGAUGGGAAACAGGUUAAUAUUCCUGUACUUGGUGUUACUGCGAAGGGGGGACGGAGAAGGCUAUGUUGGCCGGGCGACGGUUGUCCCGGUUUAAGCGUGUAGGCUGGUUUUCCAGGCAAAUCCGGAAAACCAAGGCUGAGGCGUGAUGACGAGGCACUACGGUGCUGAAGCGACAAAUGCCCUGCUUCCAGGAAAAGCCUCUAAGCAUCAGGUAACAUCAAAUCGUACCCCAAACCGACACAGGUGGUCAGGUAGAGAAUACCAAGGCGCUUGAGAGAACUCGGGUGAAGGAACUAGGCAAAAUGGUGCCGUAACUUCGGGAGAAGGCACGCUGAUAUGUAGGUGAAGCGACUUGCUCGUGGAGCUGAAAUCAGUCGAAGAUACCAGCUGGCUGCAACUGUUUAUUAAAAACACAGCACUGUGCAAACACGAAAGUGGACGUAUACGGUGUGACGCCUGCCCGGUGCCGGAAGGUUAAUUGAUGGGGUUAGCGGUAACGCGAAGCUCUUGAUCGAAGCCCCGGUAAACGGCGGCCGUAACUAUAACGGUCCUAAGGUAGCGAAAUUCCUUGUCGGGUAAGUUCCGACCUGCACGAAUGGCGUAAUGAUGGCCAGGCUGUCUCCACCCGAGACUCAGUGAAAUUGAACUCGCUGUGAAGAUGCAGUGUACCCGCGGCAAGACGGAAAGACCCCGUGAACCUUUACUAUAGCUUGACACUGAACAUUGAGCCUUGAUGUGUAGGAUAGGUGGGAGGCUUUGAAGUGUGGACGCCAGUCUGCAUGGAGCCGACCUUGAAAUACCACCCUUUAAUGUUUGAUGUUCUAACGUUGGCCCGUAAUCCGGGUUGCGGACAGUGUCUGGUGGGUAGUUUGACUGGGGCGGUCUCCUCCUAAAGAGUAACGGAGGAGCACGAAGGUUGGCUAAUCCUGGUCGGACAUCAGGAGGUUAGUGCAAUGGCAUAAGCCAGCUUGACUGCGAGCGUGACGGCGCGAGCAGGUGCGAAAGCAGGUCAUAGUGAUCCGGUGGUUCUGAAUGGAAGGGCCAUCGCUCAACGGAUAAAAGGUACUCCGGGGAUAACAGGCUGAUACCGCCCAAGAGUUCAUAUCGACGGCGGUGUUUGGCACCUCGAUGUCGGCUCAUCACAUCCUGGGGCUGAAGUAGGUCCCAAGGGUAUGGCUGUUCGCCAUUUAAAGUGGUACGCGAGCUGGGUUUAGAACGUCGUGAGACAGUUCGGUCCCUAUCUGCCGUGGGCGCUGGAGAACUGAGGGGGGCUGCUCCUAGUACGAGAGGACCGGAGUGGACGCAUCACUGGUGUUCGGGUUGUCAUGCCAAUGGCACUGCCCGGUAGCUAAAUGCGGAAGAGAUAAGUGCUGAAAGCAUCUAAGCACGAAACUUGCCCCGAGAUGAGUUCUCCCUGACUCCUUGA
Molecule: ribosomal RNA, 1516 nt
Filed under: Escherichia coli
Lineage: Bacteria; Pseudomonadati; Pseudomonadota; Gammaproteobacteria; Enterobacterales; Enterobacteriaceae
Description: bacterial LSU rRNA
Rfam family: Bacterial large subunit ribosomal RNA
Source: RNAcentral